RNAcentral lists this ribosomal RNA (520 nucleotides) under uncultured Glomus. Its description in RNAcentral is "SSU rRNA". It matches the Rfam family "Eukaryotic small subunit ribosomal RNA", at positions 569 to 1089 of the family's 1831-position model. Lineage: Eukaryota; Fungi; Glomeromycota; Glomeromycetes; Glomerales; Glomeraceae. The record is from RNAcentral.
AGCAGCCGCGGUAAUUCCAGCUCCAAUAGCGUAUAUUAAAGUUGUUGCAGUUAAAAAGCUCGUAGUUGAAUUUCGGGGUUAGUAGGUUGGUCGUGCCACUGGUACGUACUGGCCUCACUGAUUCCUCCUUCCUGAUGAACUGUAAUGCCAUUAAUUUGGUGUUGCAGGGAAACUGGACUGUUACUUUGAAAAAAUUUAGAGUGUUUAAAGCAAGCUAACGCUUGAAUACAUUAGCAUGGAAUAAUGAAAUAGGACGUUCGAUCCUAUUUUGUUGGUUUCUAGGAUUGACGUAAUGAUUAAUAGGGAUAGUUGGGGGCAUUAGUAUUCAAUUGUCAGAGGUGAAAUUCUUGGAUUUAUUGAAGACUAACUACUGCGAAAGCAUUUGCCAAGGAUGUUUUCAUUAAUCAAGAACGAAAGUUAGGGGAUCGAAGACGAUCAGAUACCGUCGUAGUCUUAACCAUAAACUAUGCCGACUAGGGAUCGGAUGAUGUUAAUUUUUUAAUGACUCAUUCGGCGCCUU